UGGUAAUGAACUGAUUAUGAACACCGCGCUAUGUUGCAUCGCUUAUUUAUAAUGCCAUCCCCCACGAGGUGGUGGUCCGCUGGGGGUACGCUUCCGUGGGAAUCGGGAUGUUGCAGUUUGGGCUUCUUAGAAUCGUACGUGACAAAAUGUAAAUACCAUAUUUCGACUUAGUUUUUAUCAGUCUUGUGUUUCCGCUGAGCUAGCGUCUAGGAGAUUUGAGGCAUUCCACGCUGAUCUAGUCCGUUUCGCGAGAAACUUCCACGUGCUGUACCGUGGGAAUUACCGGUGUUUCUUCGGCGCGUGGAAGGGCUGGUGGCUGCAGCAUCAUUAUUAUUUUAAAGUUUGCUCGGGCAACACGCGCAACUCCGCUGCUCUCCCAUAACAAAGACCUCCUCCUUCGAAUUGUUUUGCGCUUCGGUGAUCGACGUUCGAACCAUGUUUGCUGAGUCGUUUCUAUCAGAGGUUCCUUUCCAGACUUCCCUGCCCAAGCGAAAGAGGGAUUCCGAAG
Molecule: long non-coding RNA, 508 nt
Organism: Bombus huntii
Lineage: Eukaryota; Metazoa; Arthropoda; Insecta; Hymenoptera; Apidae
Exons: 3
Source: RefSeq, a predicted model, not a curated record